UACGAAGGGGGCUAGCAGUUGCUCGGAAUCACUGGGCGUAAAGGGCGCGUAGGCGGAUCUUUAAGUCGGGGGUGAAAGCCUGAGGCUCAACCUCAGAAUUGCCUUCGAUACUGGAGAUCUUGAGACCGGAAGAGGUAAGUGGAACUGCGAGUGUAGAGGUGAAAUUCGUAGAUAUUCGCAAGAACACCAGUGGCGAAGGCGGCUUACUGGUCCGGUUCUGACGCUGAGGCGCGAAAGCCAGGGGAGCAAACGGG
Molecule: ribosomal RNA, 254 nt
Filed under: uncultured bacterium
Lineage: Bacteria
Description: partial 16S ribosomal RNA
Rfam family: Bacterial small subunit ribosomal RNA
Source: RNAcentral